ACGGGAGGCAGCAGUGGGGAAUAUUGCACAAUGGGGGAAACCCUGAUGCAGCGACGCCGCGUGAGUGAAGAAGUAUUUCGGUAUGCAAAGCUCUAUCAGCAGGGAAGAAAAUGACGGUACCUGACUAAGAAGCACCGGCUAAAUACGUGCCAGCAGCCGCGGUAAUACGUAUGGUGCAAGCGUUAUCCGGAUUUACUGGGUGUAAAGGGAGCGUAGACGGCGAGGCAAGUCUGAAGUGAAAUGCGGGGGCUCAACCCCUGAACUGCUUUGGAAACUGUUUUGCUAGAGUGCAGGAGAGGUAAGUGGAAUUCCUAGUGUAGCGGUGAAAUGCGUAGAUAUUAGGAGGAACACCGGCGGCGAAGGCGGCUUACUGGACUGUAACUGACGUUGAGGCUCGAAAGCGUGGGGAGCAAACAGGAUUAGAUACCCUGGUA
This 434-nucleotide ribosomal RNA is filed under the name uncultured Lachnospiraceae bacterium. RNAcentral's name for it is "partial 16S ribosomal RNA". It matches the Rfam family "Bacterial small subunit ribosomal RNA", at positions 341 to 792 of the family's 1533-position model. Lineage: Bacteria; Bacillati; Bacillota; Clostridia; Lachnospirales; Lachnospiraceae. The record is from RNAcentral.